This 249-nucleotide ribosomal RNA is filed under the name Campylobacter jejuni. RNAcentral describes it as "partial 23S ribosomal RNA". It matches the Rfam family "Bacterial large subunit ribosomal RNA", at positions 1371 to 1612 of the family's 2925-position model. Lineage: Bacteria; Pseudomonadati; Campylobacterota; Epsilonproteobacteria; Campylobacterales; Campylobacteraceae. The record is from RNAcentral.
AUCGUAGGGUUAGUCGUGUCCUAAGUCGAGUCCGAUAGGGGUAGACGAUGGCAAAUUGGUUAAUAUUCCAAUACCAACAUUAGUGUGCGCUGGAAGGACGCUUAGGGCUCAGGGGGCUAGCGCAUGGAAGGGCUAGUCUAAGGUCGUAGGAGGUUAUACAGGCAAAUCCGUAUAACAAUACUCCGAGAACUGAAAGGCUUUUUGCAGUCUUCGGGUGGAUAGAAGAACCCCUGUUGCCGUCGAGCCAAG